Long non-coding RNA from Cydia splendana, 496 nucleotides. RefSeq lists it as uncharacterized. The transcript has 2 exons. Lineage: Eukaryota; Metazoa; Arthropoda; Insecta; Lepidoptera; Tortricidae. The record is from RefSeq and is a predicted model, not a curated record.
CGCUGUCGGUCUCACUCGGUUGUCAACGGACGCCUCACUCAGUUUAAAUUUGACAGUUUGAUUGACCAGCAGCGUUUCUUUUCAAGUGCUGAAUACCCGAUUAUAGCAGAGAGAGCUCUAAAAAUGUUGGUACCGUUUGCUACUACAUACAGGUGUGAGAGUGGUUUCUCAACGUUGGUGGUACUAAAAACAAAGGCUAGAAAUCGCCUCAACGUGGAAUAUGAUUUAAGAUGCGCCUUAAGUGAAACAAAGCCUGAUAUUCCAAAACUUGUUAAUGCGAAGCAGUGCCAACCUUCGCAUUAAAAAUCUUACAUUCAUAUGCUUUUACGCAUGAAUUAAUGAUGAAAAGAAUACAUAGUUAGAUGUAAUGUGUUUCUAAGAACACAGUCAAUAUUUUUGUGCAAUUAGUUGUUUGGUAAAGUUAAUAGUUAUAUAUGUGACAUUUCAGUUAAUGUUAAAUAAAAUUAGUACCUAAUAUAACAAUAUAACAAACGUA